Molecule: non-coding RNA, 89 nt
Organism: Xylariaceae sp. FL0804
Lineage: Eukaryota; Fungi; Ascomycota; Sordariomycetes; Xylariales; Xylariaceae
Source: the annotation of a GenBank genome assembly
UCUUCCGUGGCGCAAUUGGCUAGCGCGUCUGACUGUUAAAUGGUAACAUUGCAAUCAGGAGGUUGACAGUUCAAGCCUGUCCGGGAGAG